Molecule: transfer RNA, 88 nt
Filed under: Deltaproteobacteria bacterium
Lineage: Bacteria; Pseudomonadati; Myxococcota; Myxococcia
Description: tRNA-Leu
Rfam family: tRNA
About the family: Transfer RNA (tRNA) molecules are approximately 80 nucleotides in length. Their secondary structure includes four short double-helical elements and three loops (D, anti-codon, and T loops).
Source: RNAcentral
GCCUGGAUGGCGGAACUGGUAGACGCAAGGGACUUAAAAUCCCUCGGCAUAUAAUGCUGUCCGAGUUCGAGUCUCGGUCCAGGCACCA